AGGCCUCUCCUACCUGAGACAAGUCCGCUUAGGUAAGCUGACAUAAUUAAUUGUUCUUGUGUGGUCUCUUGUUAAGCACACCCUGAAAGCUCAACUGUUAUUCACUUAUUUGUGACAUUUCUGUCCCACCUCUCCUCAACAAGCUGAAGGUGGCUCUCCUGCCCGUUUGUUUUAUUCACAUGACAACCUUGUGACAUCAGUCAGGCUGCAAGACAGGGAUUGGCCCAAAGUCACCCAGUGGGUUUCAUGGCUGGCUCUGUCUACAUCCAGUACUCUGUCCAGUUAAACCACAAUGGCUCUAUGGACACCCUGCCACCCUCACAUGCUCAGUACACACCGAAUACAGGGAGAUCACUCUCCUUUACCAUUAUAAACAAGAAAACAGAACCCGAUUGUUUCAGAGAAGGGGCUAUUGUGCCAUUGCAACCGGAGAACUUUUUACACUAGGCAAAAUGAAGCAGUGCAAUCCUCAUCUAGUCAGUUCGUUUGCAUUGAAUGGGAGCGACUUCCAGAUGCCUUUCACCCUGUGAGGUGACCAGAGGCAGUUCACAAACAGUGCCUGAGAUUUAAGGUCUAAAAACUGAGACAUGAGAAAAAUGGACGUGAAUGUUGAGUGCCCUGGCCAACCAGAUGCACAUGGGAAACCUACAGCCAGGACAUGAGUGCUGUGGCAUCUUGCUUCCUGUUCUUUCACGUGUUUUAUUUUGAGGCUGCCUCCAUUUGCAGAGUAAAGUAAUCUGUCACGGAUUGGGAAACACCUGAAGGAAUCCCUGUUGGAUCAGUUCCUCUAGGAAGCAAAAGAAGCAAAGAGCAGAUGUGUAACAGUUCCAACUGUACUAAGCAGAAGAAAACAGCUCAGUAGUUACAACACUCUUCCACACCUCAGGCUUUGCAGUGCCAGCCUCAUGAAGCUUCUUAUGAGGACCCAAAAGCUGACUUUUAAAGUGAUAUUGUAGCAGGAACAAUAAAGGUAUUACACAAGCUUCUUUUAAAGUUUUGCUCAUGAAGGACACGCCUUUUAAGUUUCCAAAGUACAAAGCCUA
Non-coding RNA from Pogona vitticeps (central bearded dragon), 1043 nucleotides. The record is from RefSeq and is a predicted model, not a curated record. NCBI's taxonomy places the organism in Eukaryota, Metazoa, Chordata, Lepidosauria, Squamata, Agamidae.